Molecule: ribosomal RNA, 253 nt
Filed under: uncultured bacterium
Lineage: Bacteria
Description: partial 16S ribosomal RNA
Rfam family: Bacterial small subunit ribosomal RNA
Source: RNAcentral
UACAGAGGGUGCGAGCGUUAAUCGGAAUUACUGGGCGUAAAGCGCACGUAGGUGGCGACGUAAGUCGGGUGUGAAAGCCCCGGGCUCAACCUGGGAAUUGCAUUCGAGACUGCAUUGCUGGAGUACGGAAGAGGAGGGCGGAAUUCCCGGUGUAGCAGUGAAAUGCGUAGAGAUGCGGAGGAACACCGAUGGCGAAGGCAGCCCCCUGGGCCAAUACUGACGCUCAGGCACGAAAGCGUGGGGAGCAAACAGG